RNAcentral lists this ribosomal RNA (346 nucleotides) under uncultured bacterium. RNAcentral describes it as "partial 16S ribosomal RNA". It matches the Rfam family "Bacterial small subunit ribosomal RNA", at positions 338 to 681 of the family's 1533-position model. The record is from RNAcentral.
CCUACGGGUGGCAGCAGUGAGGAAUAUUGGUCAAUGGGCGCGAGCCUGAACCAGCCAAGUAGCGUGAAGGAUGACUGCCCUACGGGUUGUAAACUUCUGUUAUAAAGGAAUAAAGUGAGGCACGUGUGCCUUUUUGUAUGUACUUUAUGAAUAAGGAUCGGCUAACUCCGUGCCAGCAGCCGCGGUAAUACGGAGGUUCCGAGCGUUAUCCGGAUUUGAUGGGUUUAAAGGGAGCGUAGAGGGGUUGUUAAGUCAGUUGUGCAAGUUUGCGGCUCAACCGUAAAAGUGCAUUUGUUACUGGCAGUCUUGCGUACAGUUGAGGUAGGCGGAAUUCGUGGUGUAGCGG